UACGGGGGGGGCAAGCGUUGUUCGGAAUUACUGGGCGUAAAGGGCUCGUAGGUGGCCAACUAAGUCAGACGUGAAAUCCCUCAGCUUAACUGGGGAACUGCGUCUGAUACUGGAUGGCUUGAGAUUGGGAGAGGGAUGCGGAAUUCCAGGUGUAGCGGUGAAAUUCGUAGAUAUCGAGAGGAACACCGGUGGCGAAGGCGGCGAUCUGGACGAUGACUGACGCUGAGACGCGAAAGCGUGGGGAGCAAACAGG
RNAcentral lists this ribosomal RNA (253 nucleotides) under uncultured bacterium. RNAcentral's name for it is "partial 16S ribosomal RNA". It matches the Rfam family "Bacterial small subunit ribosomal RNA", at positions 524 to 776 of the family's 1533-position model. The record is from RNAcentral.